This 660-nucleotide ribosomal RNA is filed under the name uncultured fungus. Its description in RNAcentral is "eukaryotic LSU rRNA". It matches the Rfam family "Eukaryotic large subunit ribosomal RNA", at positions 24 to 664 of the family's 3401-position model. The record is from RNAcentral. Lineage: Eukaryota; Fungi.
CCCGCUGAACUUAAGCAUAUCAAUAAGCGGAGGAAAAGAAACUAACAAGGAUUCCCCUAGUAACUGCGAGUGCAGCGGGAAAAGCUCAAAUUUAAAAUCUGGGGGUCCCUGUGGCCCUCCGAGUUGUAAUCUAGAGAAGUGCUAUCCGCGCUGGACCGUGUACAAGUCUCCUGGAACGGAGCGUCAUAGAGGGUGAGAAUCCCGUCUUUGACACGGACUACCAGGGCUUAUGUGAUGUGCUCUCAAAGAGUCGAGUUGUUUGGGAAUGCAGCUCUAAAUGGGUGGUAAAUUCCAUCUAAAGCUAAAUAUUGGCGAGAGACCGAUAGCGAACAAGUACCGUGAGGGAAAGAUGAAAAGAACUUUGGAAAGAGAGUUAAACAGUACGUGAAAUUGUUGAAAGGGAAACGCUUGAAGUCAGUCGCGUUGCCCAGAAAUCAACCUUGCUUUUGCUUGGUGUACUUUCUGGUUAACGGGUCAGCAUCAAUUUUGACCGGUGGAUAAAGGUCAGGGGAAUGUGGCAUCUUCGGAUGUGUUAUAGCCCUUGGUUGCAUACAGCGGUUGGGAUUGAGGAACUCAGCAUGCCGCAAGGCCGGGUUUUUAACCACGUACAUGCUUAGGAUGCUGGCAUAAUGGCUUUAAUCGACCCGUCUUGAAACACGG